Molecule: ribosomal RNA, 320 nt
Filed under: Dorysarthrus mobilicornis
Lineage: Eukaryota; Metazoa; Arthropoda; Insecta; Hemiptera; Dictyopharidae
Description: partial small subunit ribosomal RNA
Source: RNAcentral
ACUGGGGUAGUAAUAUAAUUAAUUGAAAUUCAAUAGAUUUGGCGGUUUUUAAAUCUUUUUAGAGGAACCUGUAUUUUAAAUGAUAGUCCACGAUUUUUUUUACCUUUAAUUUCUUGUAUAUCGCUGUCGUUGAGUGUAAUUAAAUUUCUAUUUUCUUUUCCUUUCUUAGGGGGUUAUGUUAGGUCAAGAUGCAGUUAUUUAAUGGUUAAUAUGGGUUACAUUUAUUUUUGUUAUUGGAUAUUUAAUUUUGGUUAUUUUUGAAAUUGGAUUUAAUAGUAAUUUUAUUAGAUUAAUAUUUUGAAUUUUGCUCUUAAUUAUGU